This 85-nucleotide transfer RNA is filed under the name Pseudomonadota bacterium. Its description in RNAcentral is "Proteobacteria bacterium tRNA-Leu". It matches the Rfam family "tRNA". From Rfam's summary of the family: Transfer RNA (tRNA) molecules are approximately 80 nucleotides in length. Their secondary structure includes four short double-helical elements and three loops (D, anti-codon, and T loops). Lineage: Bacteria; Pseudomonadati; Pseudomonadota. The record is from RNAcentral. RNAcentral also lists the same sequence under 2 other names.
GCUCUGGUGGUGGAAUUGGUAGACACGCUGUCUUGAGGGGGCAGUGGCGCGAGCCGUGCGAGUUCGAGUCUCGCUCAGAGCACCA